UUGCAAUGGAUGCUUUCUUUGUACAAUAACAAGUUGAAUGGAAUUUUGGAGGAUGAGAUGGGUCUUGGAAAAACUGUGUAGGUUAUGGCAUUGAUUGCAUACUUGAUGGAAUUUAAAGGAAACUAUGACCCGCAUCUUAUAAUAGUACCGAAUGUUGUUUUAGUUAACUGGAAGAGCGAGUUUUAUAAUUGGCUACCAUCUGUGUCGUGCAUUUUUUAUGUUGGAAGCAAGGAUCAAUGGUCAAAAUUG
Arachis ipaensis is the source of this 249-nucleotide non-coding RNA. The record is from RefSeq and is a predicted model, not a curated record. NCBI's taxonomy places the organism in Eukaryota, Viridiplantae, Streptophyta, Magnoliopsida, Fabales, Fabaceae.